CUCUAUGGCCAUACCACCCCGAACAGACCUGAGCACCUACGAUUUCCAGAAGCUAAGCAGGGUCAGGCCUGGAUCGUACUUGGAUGGGAGGAACUGAUAUCUCUUCCUUGCUCAGUGAACUCUUAUUAGUUGUCUAAG
RNAcentral lists this ribosomal RNA (138 nucleotides) under Nannospalax galili (Upper Galilee mountains blind mole rat). The record is from RNAcentral. Lineage: Eukaryota; Metazoa; Chordata; Mammalia; Rodentia; Spalacidae.